UACAGAGGUCCCGAGCGUUGUUCGGAUUCAUUGGGCGUAAAGGGUGCGUAGGCGGUCUUCUAAGUUUGAUGUGAAAUCCCGGGGCUCAACCCUGGAAUUGCAUUGAAUACUGGAGGACUAGAGUACCGGAGAGGAAACUGGAAUUUACGGUGUAGCAGUGAAAUGCGUAGAGAUCGUAAGGAAGACCAGUGGCGAAGGCGAGUUUCUGGACGGUAACUGACGCUGAGGCACGAAGGCCAGGGGAGCAAACAGG
RNAcentral lists this ribosomal RNA (253 nucleotides) under uncultured bacterium. Its description in RNAcentral is "partial 16S ribosomal RNA". It matches the Rfam family "Bacterial small subunit ribosomal RNA", at positions 524 to 776 of the family's 1533-position model. The record is from RNAcentral.